UACAGAGGUCUCAAGCGUUGUCCGGAUUUAUUGGGCGUAAAGAGCGUGUAGGCGGCCAGGUAGGUCUGCUGUGAAAACUCGAGGCUCAACCUCGAGACGUCGGCGGAAACCAUCUGGCUAGAGUCCGGAAGAGGAGAGUGGAAUUCCUGGUGUAGCGGUGAAACGCGCAGAUAUCAGGAAGAACACCCGUGGCGAAGGCGGCUCUCUGGGACGGUACUGACGCUGAGACGCGAAAGCGUGGGGAGCGAACAGG
This 253-nucleotide ribosomal RNA is filed under the name uncultured bacterium. RNAcentral's name for it is "partial 16S ribosomal RNA". It matches the Rfam family "Bacterial small subunit ribosomal RNA", at positions 524 to 776 of the family's 1533-position model. The record is from RNAcentral.